This 406-nucleotide ribosomal RNA is filed under the name uncultured bacterium. RNAcentral describes it as "partial 16S ribosomal RNA". It matches the Rfam family "Bacterial small subunit ribosomal RNA", at positions 30 to 526 of the family's 1533-position model. The record is from RNAcentral.
AUUGAACGCUGGCGGCAGGCCUAACACAUGCAAGUCGAACGAGUGGCGGACGGGUGAGUAAUGUCUGGGAAACUGCCCGAUGGAGGGGGAUAACUACUGGAAACGGUAGCUAAUACCGCAUACCAUCGGAUGUGCCCAGAUGGGAUUAGCUAGUAGGUGGGGUAACGGCUCACCUAGGCGACGAUCCCUAGCUGGUCUGAGAGGAUGACCGGCCAACCUGGAACUGAGACACGGUCCAUACUCCUACGUGAGGCAGCAGUGGGGAAUAGUGCACAAUGGGCGCAAGCCUGAUGCAGCCAUGCCGCGGGUAUGAAGAAGGCCUUCGGGUUGUAAAGUACUUUCAGCGGGGAGGCGUUACCCGCAGAGGAAGCACCGGCUAACUCCGUGCCAGCAGCCGCGGUAAUUC